Molecule: vault RNA, 96 nt
Filed under: Neogobius melanostomus (round goby)
Lineage: Eukaryota; Metazoa; Chordata; Actinopteri; Gobiiformes; Gobiidae
Description: Vault RNA (ENSNMLG00000004499.1)
Rfam family: Vault RNA
About the family: This family of RNAs are found as part of the enigmatic vault ribonucleoprotein complex. The complex consists of a major vault protein (MVP), two minor vault proteins (VPARP and TEP1), and several small untranslated RNA molecules. It has been suggested that the vault complex is involved in drug resistance.
Source: Rfam by way of RNAcentral
GCGGAGGCUUAGCUCACUGGUUACUUCUCAUACUGAUCAACUCCAGCGAGUCUGCGGGCUCCGGAGUUCAAACCACGGGCGCUGCCCUCCACUUUU